UACGUAGGGGGCAAGCGUUGUCCGGAAUCAUUGGGCGUAAAGCGCGCGUAGGCGGCCCGGUAAGUCCGCUGUGAAAGUCCAGGGCUCAACCCUGGAAAGCCGGUGGAUACUGCCGGGCUAGAGUCCGGAAGAGGCGAGUGGAAUUCCUGGUGUAGCGGUGGAAUGCGCAGAUAUCAGGAGGAACACCAAUAGCGAAGGCAGCUCGCUGGGACGGUACUGACGCUGAGGUGCGAAAGCGUGGGGAGCGAACAGG
RNAcentral lists this ribosomal RNA (253 nucleotides) under uncultured bacterium. RNAcentral describes it as "partial 16S ribosomal RNA". It matches the Rfam family "Bacterial small subunit ribosomal RNA", at positions 524 to 776 of the family's 1533-position model. The record is from RNAcentral.